UGAAAUACCACCCUUUAAUGUUUGAUGUUCUAACGUGGACCCGUGAUCCGGGUUGCGGACAGUGUCUGGUGGGUAGUUUGACUGGGGCGGUCUCCUCCUAAAGAGUAACGGAGGAGCACGAAGGUUGGCUAAUCCUGGUCGGACAUCAGGAGGUUAGUGCAAUGGCAUAAGCCAGCUUGACUGCGAGCGUGACGGCGCGAGCAGGUGCGAAAGCAGGUCAUAGUGAUCCGGUGGUUCUGAAUGGAAGGGCCAUCGCUCAACGGAUAAAAGGUACUCCGGGGAUAACAGGCUGAUACCGCCCAAGAGUUCAUAUCGACGGCGGUGUUUGGCACCUCGAUGUCGGCUCAUCACAUCCUGGGGCUGAAGUAGGUCCCAAGGGUAUGGCUGUUCGCCAUUUAAAGUGGUACGCGAGCUGGGUUUAGAACGUCGUGAGACAGUUCGGUCCCUAUCUGCCGUGGGCGCUGGAGAACUGAGGGGGGCUGCUCCUAGUACGAGAGGACCGGAGUGGACGCAUCACUGGUGUUCGGGUUGUCAUGCCAAUGGCACUGCCCGGUAGCUAAAUGCGGAAGAGAUAAGUGCUGAAAGCAUCUAAGCACGAAACUUGCC
RNAcentral lists this ribosomal RNA (606 nucleotides) under Escherichia coli. RNAcentral's name for it is "partial 23S ribosomal RNA". It matches the Rfam family "Bacterial large subunit ribosomal RNA", at positions 2193 to 2798 of the family's 2925-position model. Lineage: Bacteria; Pseudomonadati; Pseudomonadota; Gammaproteobacteria; Enterobacterales; Enterobacteriaceae. The record is from RNAcentral.